Molecule: ribosomal RNA, 493 nt
Filed under: uncultured bacterium
Lineage: Bacteria
Description: partial 16S ribosomal RNA
Rfam family: Bacterial small subunit ribosomal RNA
Source: RNAcentral
AGUGAACGCUGGCGGUAGGCCUAACACAUGCAAGUCGAACGGCAGCACAGUAAGAGCUUGCUCUUACGGGUGGCGAGUGGCGGACGGGUGAGGAAUACAUCGGAAUCUACUUUUUCGUGGGGGAUAACGUAGGGAAACUUACGCUAAUACCGCAUACGACCUACGGGUGAAAGCAGGGGAUCUUCGGACCUUGCGCGAUUGAAUGAGCCGAUGUCGGAUUAGCUAGUUGGCGGGGUAAAGGCCCACCAAGGCGACGAUCCGUAGCUGGUCUGAGAGGAUGAGCAGCCACACUGGAACUGAGACACGGUCCAGACGCCUACGGGAGGCAGCAGUGGGGAAUAUUGGACAAUGGGCGCAAGCCUGAUCCAGCCAUACCGCGUGGGUGAAGAAGGCCGUCGGGUUGUAAAGCCCUUUUGUUGGGAAAGAAAAGCAGCAGGUUAAUACCCCGCUGUUCUGACGGUACCCAAAGAAUAAGCACCGGCUAACUUCGUGC